This 425-nucleotide ribosomal RNA is filed under the name uncultured bacterium. RNAcentral's name for it is "bacterial SSU rRNA". It matches the Rfam family "Bacterial small subunit ribosomal RNA", at positions 354 to 796 of the family's 1533-position model. The record is from RNAcentral.
GUCGGGAAUUUUGGGCAAUGGGCGAAAGCCUGACCCAGCAACGCCGCGUGAAGGAUGAAGUAUUUCGGUAUGUAAACUUCGAAAGAAUGGGAAGAAUCAAUGACGGUACCAUUUAUAAGGUCCGGCUAACUACGUGCCAGCAGCCGCGGUAAUACGUAGGGACCAAGCGUUGUUCGGAUUUACUGGGCGUAAAGGGCGCGUAGGCGGCAGUUCAAGUCAGCUGUGAAAUCUCCGAGCUUAACUCGGAACGGUCAGCUGAUACUGUUUUGCUAGAGUGCAGAAGGGGCAAUCGGAAUUCUUGGUGUAGCGGUGAAAUGCGUAGAUAUCAAGAGGAACACCUGAGGUGAAGACGGGUUGCUGGGCUGACACUGACGCUGAGGCGCGAAAGCUAGGGUAGCAAACGGGAUUAGAAACCCCAGUAGUCC